CCUACGGGAGGCUGCAGUGAGGAAUAUUGGUCAAUGGGCGCGAGCCUGAACCAGCCAAGUAGCGUGAAGGAUGACUGCCCUACGGGUUGUAAACUUCUUUUAUAAAGGAAUAAAGUGAGGCCCGUGUGCCUUUUUAUAUGUACUUUAUGAAUAAGGAUCGGCUAACUCCGUGCCAGCAGCCGCGGUAAUACGGAGGAUCCGAGCGUUAUCCGGAUUUAUUGGGUUUAAAGGGAGCGUAGAUGGGUUGUUACGUCAGUUGUGAACGUUUGCGGCUCAACCGUAAAAUUGCAAUUGCUACUGGCAGCCUUGAGUACAGUUGAGGUACGCGGAAUUCGUGGUGUAGCGGUGAAAUGCUUAGAUAUCACGAAGAACUCCGAUUGCGAAGGCAGCCUACUAAACUGCCACUGACAUUGAUGCUCGAAAGUGUGGGUAUCAAACAGGAUUAGAUACCCUUGUAGUC
This 460-nucleotide ribosomal RNA is filed under the name uncultured bacterium. Its description in RNAcentral is "partial 16S ribosomal RNA". It matches the Rfam family "Bacterial small subunit ribosomal RNA", at positions 338 to 795 of the family's 1533-position model. The record is from RNAcentral.